GACGAACGCUGGCGGCGUGCCUAAUACAUGCAAGUUGAGCGCUGAAGGUUGGUACUUGUACCAACUGGAUGAGCAGCGAACGGGUGGGUAACGCGUGGGGAAUCUGCCUUUGAGCGGGGGACAACAUUUGGAAACGAAUGCUAAUACCGCAUAAAAACUUUAAACACAAGUUUUAAGUUUGAAAGAUGCAAUUGCAUCACUCAAAGAUGAUCCCGCGUUGUAUUAGCUAGUUGGUGAGGUAAAGGCUCACCAAGGCGAUGAUACAUAGCCGACCUGAGAGGGUGAUCGGCCACAUUGGGACUGAGACACGGCCCAACCUCCUACGGGAGGCAGCAGUAGGGAAUCUUCGGCAAUGGACGAAAGUCUGACCGAGCAACGCCGCGUGAGUGAAGAAGGUUUUCGGAUCGUAAAACUCUGUUGGUAGAGAAGAACGUUGGUGAGAGUGGAAAGCUCAUCAAGUGACGGUAACUACCCAGAAAGGGACGGCUAACUACGUG
Molecule: ribosomal RNA, 497 nt
Filed under: uncultured bacterium
Lineage: Bacteria
Description: partial 16S ribosomal RNA
Rfam family: Bacterial small subunit ribosomal RNA
Source: RNAcentral